RNAcentral lists this transfer RNA (90 nucleotides) under Candidatus Kaiserbacteria bacterium. Its description in RNAcentral is "tRNA-Ser". It matches the Rfam family "tRNA". From Rfam's summary of the family: Transfer RNA (tRNA) molecules are approximately 80 nucleotides in length. Their secondary structure includes four short double-helical elements and three loops (D, anti-codon, and T loops). The record is from RNAcentral. Lineage: Bacteria; Candidatus Kaiseribacteriota.
GGAGAGGUGGCAGAGCGGUCGAAUGCAGCAUCCUGCUAAGAUGCUGACCGGGAAACUGGUCCGAGGGUUCGAAUCCCUCCCUCUCCGCAA